Molecule: ribosomal RNA, 504 nt
Filed under: uncultured bacterium
Lineage: Bacteria
Description: partial 16S ribosomal RNA
Rfam family: Bacterial small subunit ribosomal RNA
Source: RNAcentral
AUUGAACGCUGGCGGCAUGCCUUACACAUGCAAGUCGAACGGCAGCAUGGAGAGCUUGCUCUCUGAUGGCGAGUGGCGAACGGGUGAGUAAUGCAUCGGAACGUACCGUGUAAUGGGGGAUAACGUAGCGAAAGUUACGCUAAUACCGCAUACGACCUGAGGGUGAAAGCAGGGGAUCGCAAGAGCUUGCGUUAUACGAACGGCCGAUGUCAGAUUAGCUAGUUGGUGAGGUAAAGGCUCACCAAGGCGACGAUCUGUAGCGGGUCUGAGAGUAUGAGCCGCCACACUGGGACUGAGACACGGCCCAGACUCCUACGGGAGGCAGCAGUGGGGAAUUUUGGACAAUGGGGGCAACCCUGAUCCAGCCAUGCCGCGUGAGUGAAGAAGGCCUUCGGGUUGUAAAGCUCUUUCGGCCGGGAAGAAAUCGCACAGGCUAAUACCCUGUGUGGAUGACGGUACCGGCAUAAGAAGCACCGGCUAACUACAUGCCAGCCGCCGCCGUAA